Molecule: non-coding RNA, 46 nt
Organism: Schistosoma margrebowiei
Lineage: Eukaryota; Metazoa; Platyhelminthes; Trematoda; Strigeidida; Schistosomatidae
Source: Rfam
GUACUGCUGAGGAGUCCCAUACCAGGACGAAACGGCCGUUCAGUGC